This 491-nucleotide ribosomal RNA is filed under the name uncultured bacterium. RNAcentral's name for it is "partial 16S ribosomal RNA". It matches the Rfam family "Bacterial small subunit ribosomal RNA", at positions 29 to 507 of the family's 1533-position model. The record is from RNAcentral.
AGUGAACGCUGGCGGUAGGCCUAACACAUGCAAGUCGAACGGCAGCACAGUAAGAGCUUGCUCUUACGGGUGGCGAGUGGCGGACGGGUGAGGAAUACAUCGGAAUCUACUUUUUCGUGGGGGAUAACGUAGGGAAACUUACGCUAAUACCGCAUACGACCUACGGGUGAAAGCAGGGGAUCUUCGGACCUUGCGCGAUUGAAUGAGCCGAUGUCGGAUUAGCUAGUUGGCGGGGUAAAGGCCCACCAAGGCGACGAUCCGUAGCUGGUCUGAGAGGAUGAUCAGCCACACUGGAACUGAGACACGGUCCAGCCUCCUACGGGAGGCACCAGUGGGAAUUAUUGGACAAUGGGCGCAAGCCUGAUCCAGCCAUACCGCGUGGGUGAAGAAGGCCUUCGGGUUGUAAAGCCCUUUUGUUGGGAAAGAAAAGCAGCAGGUUAAUACCCCGCUGUUCUGACGGUACCCAAAGAAUAGCACCGGCUAACUUCGUG